This is a long non-coding RNA of Pseudopipra pipra, 443 nucleotides long. RefSeq lists it as uncharacterized. The transcript is spliced from 3 exons. The record is from RefSeq and is a predicted model, not a curated record. Lineage: Eukaryota; Metazoa; Chordata; Aves; Passeriformes; Pipridae.
CUCAGCUGCAUCUGAAUCCUUUGCGUGGUGCUGUGCCCCUAUCCCUUUCCCCUCGGGCCGUGGCAGCACGAUGCUCACUGCUCUGUGCUUUUGUGGUGUGACAGGCCUGGAGCAAACACGUGUUCUACUUGUGCUCACCACAGCAGACAAGUUUAUUUUCUGCAACAGUUGAAGUGCAGAAGAAUAAGAAACUCCUGAGUCGUAACACACUUUGUUCAUCAACCAACAAACGAUAUCUCAUCCUGACAUCCAGCCUCUUUCCCAGCCAGGAUCAUUGGGAAGCUGCUCUGGACCUGCCUCAGUCCAACCCUCUGAUAGCCACAUGCGCUACAAAAUUCUUUCUGCUGCAGAGGCCCACGUGAAACCAUGCAGACAGGCAAAUGGCAUCCCAGUUUCUCCUCAGCAACUGCUUCCUGGUUAACUCUAACCCUCAGGAAGCUGAU